Molecule: long non-coding RNA, 3750 nt
Organism: Hypanus sabinus (Atlantic stingray)
Lineage: Eukaryota; Metazoa; Chordata; Chondrichthyes; Myliobatiformes; Dasyatidae
Exons: 3
Source: RefSeq, a predicted model, not a curated record
GCACAUGAAGGAGAUUUGAAGAAUUUCCAAACCUUCUGACAGUACGAUGUUGCAGCUGCUCUCAUCUCCAGGGACGCAAGUUGAAUUCUGACCUCCGGUUUGUCAGUGUGGAGCUUGUGACGACUGGGUCUUCUCCAGGCACUCGGGUUCCCUCCCGCGUCUCAGAAGAGUUGAUUUCUUCGGCAGUUUGAACGGGGCACGACUGCGCAAGCGCGUGAAGAUCAGCCUCUGAGAUCAGCGGGAGAGUUUAAAAAGCAAACAGAUUAACAGAGUGGGUGUCAGAGGACCGGGUGACAGAGCAGAGGGAGACAGAGUAGGAAGGCUUUGGCUCGAGAGGCUUCGGCGAGCAGAGGCUGAGGACGAGCUUGCACCAUUCAGGUAAGGUCAGAUUGAAAAAGAAAGAAAGAGAGCAUCCUGACUGGCUGUAUCACCGCCUGGUACGGGAACUGCACCAGCCUUGAUCGCUGGGCUCUGCAGAGAGUGGUACGGACAGCGCAGUGCACCUGUGGUUGUGAACUUCCCUCCACUGAGGACAUUUACAGAAGCAGGUGCAUAAAGAAGUCCUGGAAGAUCAUUGGGCACACCAGUCACCCCAAGUAUCAACUGUUUCAGCUGCUUCUGUCUGGCAAAAGGUACCACAGCGUUAAAGCCAGACCAACAGACUAUGGGACAGCUUCUUUCUGCAAGCCAUUAGACUUAGAAAUUCACAUGUCUGUACAUUAUGACAAAGUCAUAAUGCAAAAUCUUUACUCCCUCAAGUUGUGGAAUGGAAUUAAGAUUUAAAUCAAAUUCAAAUUAAAUUACCAAUGCAUGGGCCAUUUUCCAAAAAUACUGGCGGCUGAGGAAUAAGGAAUGACACAAAAUUGUCACUGUGCUAUGAGUAUUAUGGGCAACACUUUUGGAAUUGACUCCUGUGGAAAAUACAGAUAUAUCUUUCCAUUAGCUCAGUGUGGCUCUCUGAUGUUACACAGGGAAGUGGGUCAAACACAUGCAUAUGGAAUUAACUCAGACAGAGAUCUUGGUUGAAAUGGAAGAAUUGGGCGGAAGGGCAGAAGGACCUGUUGCUGUGAGACUCAACGAUACUGCCUAAUGGAAAUAAUGGGGAUUUUAUAAAGAACGUGUCUUAUUACACUGAAGAUAACCCAGUGACAGUGAUGUCAUGGUACUUGUGCAGGGCUCCACUGGUCCUGCUGCCUCACUGUGAAAUACUCUGACGCUCAUGCAUUGUGAAUGCUUUUGCCAUCACCAAGACAACCUGAUAGAAAUGAGAGUUUACAUCACACAGAAUCCCAAGUUUCCACCUGCUCAGUUGGCUGCUCACUUAAUUGUUAUCAGCAUUUUUACAAACUAUUCUGACCUUUCAAAAUAACAACUAAUGUGCUUUUUCCAUUUAAUUCUGUGUUUACUAGAGGAUGAAAUUGUUUCAGUGUUUUAUAACCCAGCACCUCAUUCACAAUCUUUUAUUAGAAAUGCAAAUAAUAUCAAAACUACAUUUAGAAUCAUAAAUGUACACUUACUAAAUCAAACAUAACAAUAUUCUAUUGACUUACAUUUAAAUCAGUAUUGGUUGAAUUAACUACUGGACCAAAGUGGGGAAGGGUUUGUUUCCUCUCUGAAAGUGAUUAGCCAUGACCUAAUUGAAUGGAUCCAAAGAAUCCCAUGUAAUAGUGCUGACCUUAGAUUAUUGAUAUGCAUUGAAGAUAUUUUGCAAACUGAUUUUCAUUGGCAAGUGCAAAGAUAUCACAACUGUACUGAUUUUAUCAUGUAUGUGAUAUAAAUGUAGAGAGAACAUAUUGAUAUUUUUCUUUUCUAUUCAGAGGACAUAUGGUAAAAUAUUGAUCCCAGUUGAAGUCUUUCUCAGAAUUGGCCUCAUUUGUGGGACAACACAUUGGUAGUUAAUUUUGUUUUUGAUUUUAUAGAGGCAUACGGACAUAUGUGUUACAGUACUGAAACCUUCAAGCUACAAACCCUGCAUUUUGCCUUCACGCAUUUCACAACAACAGUAAUUUCACAAAGAAUGGGUACUGUACAAAGAAAUUUGGCUUGGCAUAAAUGUGAAGAAACAAAACUUCAUGCAAAGAAAGCUUCAUACUUGAAAAGAUAUAUCUCCGUUUUAAAUUGCUGAUGAACAAAGAGGAGGCUGUGGUUUUCACAAACGUGGUAUUGACUGGCACACAGAGAAGUGUCUAUGAGAAGCCUCUGAUAGUUGGAGAUACUUUGAUACUAAGGUCACUAAGAUUCUGAAUCAUAUAAAGGAACUAAAGGAACUCAGAUUCACAUCAGAUGAGGUCCAAUUGCUGUAAAUGACAGAGGGUUCAAUAGCACGAUCAGCCAAUAGUUAGGAUCAAGUUUCUCCAGAAGUCCUGUGGUUAUGCUGAUAUGUAUGUUUUGUAGCCUGGGGAAAAGUACACACUCAGGGCAACGAACACUUUCUUGGGUUUUAAUUCCUUUAUCUGUAUUAGAUAUUUAAGUGCCAGAAGAGGGUCUUAAAACAGAACGAACGACCUUACAAUCAGUUCCUGCUGUUACAAUCUCCAUUUAACCUUCGAUCCACAAACUUGUGUGUCGACAGAUUGUGUAUGCAGUAUAAAAAUACAUAGAGCAAACUGCACAAAACUGAUACAGUACUAAUACGGUAGUAGCAACUCUGAAGGAACACAAUGCAAACAACAUUAGAAUCCCCCCAACCCUGUAUCUUAUACAUAGCAGCGAAUACAUCUCAUCUAAGACUUCUACUACUUUUUAGUACACACAUGCUUAACUUCCUAAAAGAGACUAAACAUUCACGUUACGCUGUUACGUACACAAACAGUCAUGAUACUAUAAAGUUAGACAAAAGGUACACUGCAGCAUAACUUUUACAGGAUAUUGCCUGGCAGUUAAAUUACAGGAAGACUGACCUACUUGGCUGGUGAGGAACUUUGCACAAGCCACGCGAUCUAGCAUUGAUGCUUUCACUCGUGAAAAUCUAAAGCAUCCACAUGUAGAACAUGUCAAAUUACUGAUAUUCUCGAUUCGCCAACAAGCAUAACUGAAUUCACAUGGAUAUUGUAAAUUAAUGCUCACCUUUCCUCAACAAGCCCAGAACCUCUGGGGAAACUCGAUUCCAACGCCCCACCAGCUUCUUGCAGCAGAGAACAAAAUGGUCUCCCUACUAUCCCGCACGUGUGUAAUGACAUCCCCGUCUCCCCUUAACGGCACAGACAACUAUUCUAGCAUUACCCAGAUGGAUACCUAGGUACACUUUUAACGAUAAUGAAUAAGAUUCAACAGUCACCCGGUUACACAUGUAACAACUAUGAUACUUAAUUUUCGACAAGCCUUCUCCUAAUUUUCAGUUUCAUUCACUUCUCCAACCACUAGCUUCACGUGAAAGUAUCCAAACUUUCACUCACAUGUUUAAAUCUUGUUAUUAAUCAGAAACAAGGCAACAACUUAUCUUACAUAUUGCCAGGGCUUCUUGUCAUUCAGUAAAAAAAUUAUUCUUUCUUAUAAAAGGAGAAAUUAUGGGGAAAUCCUAGUUUUAGUUACCAAUAACAAUCUACAUUCACUGAAAAAGAAAUCAAAUGUGAUAGUUGAAAAUAAUUAAUAAACAAUGCUUGUUUGCUGUGCAAUCAGUGAUUGUGUGCUAAUUGGGAUAAGAUUUGCUGUAAAAUGUCACAGAAAGCUCUAUAAGAGAGUAAAACACAAGCUCAUGUACUUCGUAGUUGGAUGACACAGUAAUCCUCUGUUACCAAACUAAUGACAAAA